Molecule: ribosomal RNA, 1167 nt
Filed under: Ralstonia sp. B8
Lineage: Bacteria; Pseudomonadati; Pseudomonadota; Betaproteobacteria; Burkholderiales; Burkholderiaceae
Description: bacterial SSU rRNA
Rfam family: Bacterial small subunit ribosomal RNA
Source: RNAcentral
GCAAUUGGCGGAUGCCUUAACAUGCAGUCGAACGGCAGCGGGGGAGAAGCUUGCUUUUCCUGCCGGCGAGUGGCGAACGGGUGAGUAAUACAUCGGAACGUGCCCUGUAGUGGGGGAUAACUAGUCGAAAGAUUAGCUAAUACCGCAUACGACCUGAGGGUGAAAGUGGGGGACCGCAAGGCCUCAUGCUAUAGGAGCGGCCGAUGUCUGAUUAGCUAGUUGGUGGGGUAAAGGCCUACCAAGGCGACGAUCAGUAGCUGGUCUGAGAGGACGAUCAGCCACACUGGGACUGAGACACGGCCCAGACUCCUACGGGAGGCAGCAGUGGGGAAUUUUGGACAAUGGGCGAAAGCCUGAUCCAGCAAUGCCGCGUGUGUGAAGAAGGCCUUCGGGUUGUAAAGCACUUUUGUCCGGAAAGAAAUGGCUCUGGUUAAUACCUGGGGUCGAUGACGGUACCGGAAGAAUAAGGACCGGCUAACUACGUGCCAGCAGCCGCGGUAAUACGUAGGGUCCAAGCGUUAAUCGGAAUUACUGGGCGUAAAGCGUGCGCAGGCGGUUGUGCAAGACCGAUGUGAAAUCCCCGAGCUUAACUUGGGAAUUGCAUUGGUGACUGCACGGCUAGAGUGUGUCAGAGGGGGGUAGAAUUCCACGUGUAGCAGUGAAAUGCGUAGAGAUGUGGAGGAAUACCGAUGGCGAAGGCAGCCCCCUGGGAUAACACUGACGCUCAUGCACGAAAGCGUGGGGAGCAAACAGGAUUAGAUACCCUGGUAGUCCACGCCCUAAACGAUGUCAACUAGUUGUUGGGGAUUCAUUUCCUUAGUAACGUAGCUAACGCGUGAAGUUGACCGCCUGGGGAGUACGGUCGCAAGAUUAAAACUCAAAGGAAUUGACGGGGACCCGCACAAGCGGUGGAUGGAUGUGGAUUAAUUCGAUGCAACGCGAAAAACCUUACCUACCCUUGACAUGCCACUAACGAAGCAGAGAUGCAUUAGUGCUCGAAAGAGAAAGUGGACACAGUGCUGCAUGGCUGUCGUCAGCUCGUGUCGUGAAGAUGGUUGGGUUAAGUCCCGCACGAGCGCAACCCUUGUCUCUAGUUGCUACGAAAGGCACUCUAGAAGAGACUGCCGGUGAAAACCGGGGAGAAGGGUGGGGAUGACGUCAAGUCUC